GACGAACGCUGGCGGCGUGCUUAACACAUGCGAGUCGAACGGAAAGGCCCUGCUUUUGUGGGGUGCUCGAGUGGCGAACGGGUGAGUAACACGUGAGUAACCUGCCCUUGACUUUGGGAUAACUUCAGGAAACUGGGGCUAAUACCGGAUAGGAGCUCCUGCUGCAUGGUGGGGGUUGGAAAGUUUCGGCGGUUGGGGAUGGACUCGCGGCUUAUCAGCUUGUUGGUGGGGUAGUGGCUUACCAAGGCUUUGACGGGUAGCCGGCCUGAGAGGGUGACCGGCCACAUUGGGACUGAGAUACGGCCCAGACUCCUACGGGAGGCAGCAGUGGGGAAUAUUGCACAAUGGGCGGAAGCCUGAUGCAGCCACGCCGCGUGCGGGAUGACGGCCUUCGGGUUGUAAACCGCUUUCGCCUGUGACGAAGCGUGAGUGACGGUAAUGGGUAAAGAAGCACCGGCUAACUACGUG
RNAcentral lists this ribosomal RNA (468 nucleotides) under uncultured bacterium. RNAcentral describes it as "partial 16S ribosomal RNA". It matches the Rfam family "Bacterial small subunit ribosomal RNA", at positions 28 to 507 of the family's 1533-position model. The record is from RNAcentral.